Long non-coding RNA from Amphibalanus amphitrite, 763 nucleotides. RefSeq lists it as uncharacterized. The transcript is spliced from 3 exons. The record is from RefSeq and is a predicted model, not a curated record. NCBI's taxonomy places the organism in Eukaryota, Metazoa, Arthropoda, Thecostraca, Balanomorpha, Balanidae.
CUGGAGUUGGACCGGUGCCAAUAAAGGUCCGUGCUGAGCCUGGAUGUUACAAUUGGCGACGAGGUGAAUAUCGUGCUAUGGAAGAUGGCUGAAGGCUUCAGUUUAGCCCCAUUUGAUUUACGCGAAGAUGUGUGGGAAGAGUGGUUCGAGAGAUUUGAGUUUUACUUGGAUGCAAGAAAUGUGACUGACAGUGGCAAGAAGAAGUCCUACCUGCUUUCACAAUGCGAAGCGGCUUCCAGGGACGCCAGGAUCAUCGGAGGACAGGAGAGCACCGUCAACGAGAUCUCUGUGCCGGGUCGGGACGUGACGCCGGGUGGGAUCAAUGAAGUGCACGCCGGCCAACGCAGUCGCGAACCUACACUGGAGCCAAGAUUCCGGUCGUGGGUGAGUUCAUCGCGGACGUGAAGUACAACAACCAGGCGAGAUGGCUUCCACUGGUGGUGGUUGGAGGAGAUGGACCAAACCUCCUCGGGCGCGACUGGCUUGGGAACCUGAAGCUGGACUGGUUCAACAUCUUCUCGGUGAGUGGAAGUGAUGCUGUCACGGCUCUGAAAGAGAAAUACGCUGAAGUGUUCAGGCCAGGCCUGGGUGAGCUCAAGGGGGUGAAAGUUAAACUAGACAUUGACAGUAGUGUGGCUCCCAAGUUUUACAAACCGAGGCCGCUACCUUUUGCAUUGAAGAAAAGGGUCGAUGAGCAGCUAAAGCGAGAGAUUGACAUGGGUGUGCUUGAACCAGUUGGACAUGCAGCUUGGGGUGCUCCGAU